Molecule: ribosomal RNA, 41 nt
Filed under: Clonostachys sp. PPc2-A Lr
Lineage: Eukaryota; Fungi; Ascomycota; Sordariomycetes; Hypocreales; Bionectriaceae
Description: partial 17S ribosomal RNA
Source: RNAcentral
GAAGUAAAAGUCGUAACAAGGUCUCCGUCGGUGAACCAGCG